This 253-nucleotide ribosomal RNA is filed under the name uncultured bacterium. RNAcentral describes it as "partial 16S ribosomal RNA". It matches the Rfam family "Bacterial small subunit ribosomal RNA", at positions 524 to 776 of the family's 1533-position model. The record is from RNAcentral.
UACGUAGGUGGCAAGCGUUGUUCGGAAUUACUGGGCGUAAAGCGCACGCAGGCGGAUUUAUAAGUCAGAGGUGAAAUCCCGGGGCUUAACCUCGGAAUUGCCUUUGAUACUGUCUAUCUUGAGUCCGGGAGAGGUGAGUGGAAUUCCUAGUGUAGAGGUGAAAUUCGUAGAUAUUAGGAAGAACACCAGUGGCGAAGGCGGCUCACUGGCCCGGUACUGACGCUCAUGUGCGAAAGCGUGGGGAGCAAACAGG